CACUCAGGUGCCCCUGAACUUUUUUUUUUUUAAUGGAAAAUUAUGCUAUUUUGAUUCCCCACUUGUCUGGAAAGCGACAGGCUCUACCUGGAAGGAUAGCUAGCAAGGAGGCUGUUAAACAGUAAACCUGAAGGCAGUGAUGGAGAGAGAAAGUCACUGCUCUUGGUCCCUCAUAGAAUCCAGUAUAUUGAAUAAACCCGGUGCAAGAAGGUUUUGGUGGAGAGAGGAUUUCAGAAUCCUAUUGUGUCACCCCACAACUGGGAAGACCCUCUCCCCAGAGAGGGAGAGGUGGGAGUGUUGAGCGCAUCUGCUUCCGGCUGCAGAGAUGUGGGGGCGUCCGGAGGCCCAUGAUUCUCCUGGGAACGCUGGAUGGUCUUGCUCUUGCCUAGAAAUUUGGGGAGAGAGGUAGCGGAAGGAGAGAGAAGAAUGGGAAAAAGGUAGACAGACCUGGGCUGAUAACUACCAACAUUCACGUGGGGAAGAGCAAGCAGAUAGCGUUUCAAAUCUGUGCUGGCAGGAGGAGCUGGGGCAUAUGGCCCCCCGCACGGGGAGGGAUGCAGCUUGCGGCUCCAUGGCUCUGAGUCAGACUUGAAAACGCUUCCCAAUGUGUCAGUGUAUGGCCUGCCUGAACCCUAAAACUAUAACUGGAAAACUUUCAUGGGUUUCUUGGGGACACCAAUUAGAUAAUCCAAGCCCACGUGUCUUCCGUCCUGGCUGGAUGAGCCUGCGUCCUUCCCUUCUGGAACAUGGAAACACAGCAGAGCAGGCCACACUCACAAAGAUUAAAAAUGGUGCACGGCACAUAUUGGGAGUAGGAUGUUGUUUUUGUGCUUACUUCUGUGGCUGCACGCGGUCUUCAUGCCCAAAGUCUUACCCACGAUCGUCCAGCAACAAAAUGACCUGGGAUUUCUCCUUUUUCCUUAGAAGUGGCACAGGAGAUCAUGGAGAAGUUAGCUCUGUGAGGAGCGCUCCAAGCCUUUGGGUUGUGGCAGAAAAAGCAGGGAGGCUACUUCGAUGCCAGAUCUACAAGGUGUGUGGUGGGAGGGAUUGAGCUGUUCUUAUUCUGCGAGUGAGUCUGAGAAAUGCUGCCGUGACUUGUGAGCUCGUGGACCCUAGGAAUGUGGAUCUUCCCCAAAAGCUGCCAAAUCAUCUGUCUCUGGGGGCACAAAUACAGUCAAACCCAAGGAGCCUGUGCUUUCUUCACUUAC
Long non-coding RNA from Felis catus (domestic cat), 1208 nucleotides. RefSeq lists it as uncharacterized. NCBI's taxonomy places the organism in Eukaryota, Metazoa, Chordata, Mammalia, Carnivora, Felidae. The record is from RefSeq and is a predicted model, not a curated record. The transcript is spliced from 3 exons.